GUCCACGCCCUAAACGGUGGGUACUAGGUGUAGGGCUCGCAAGGGUUCUGUGCCGUAGGGAAACCAUUAAGUACCCCGCAUGGGGAGUACGGCCGCAAGGUUGAAACUCAAAGGAAUUGACGGGGGCCCGCACAAGCGGUGGAGCAUGUGGUUUAAUUCGACGCAACGCGAAGAACCUUACAUGGGCUUGACAUGUUAGUGGUAAGAACCUGAAAGGGGGAUGACCUGUAGCAAUACAGGAGCUAACACAGGUGCUGCAUGGCUGUCGU
This 269-nucleotide ribosomal RNA is filed under the name uncultured bacterium. Its description in RNAcentral is "partial 16S ribosomal RNA". It matches the Rfam family "Bacterial small subunit ribosomal RNA", at positions 793 to 1055 of the family's 1533-position model. The record is from RNAcentral.